Molecule: long non-coding RNA, 1843 nt
Filed under: Gossypium barbadense (sea-island cotton)
Lineage: Eukaryota; Viridiplantae; Streptophyta; Magnoliopsida; Malvales; Malvaceae
Description: long non-coding RNA (GBAR_LNC016996)
Source: RNAcentral
UAAGAACUUAAUAUUUUUUGAUUGAUGAAUUGAUGAACAAUACAAGCUCUAUUUAUACUAGUGGAUUUACUAAAUUAGGAGCCAACUAGUCAUAGGAAAUUAAGGAAAAAAAUAUCCCAUAAUAAAAUAAAUCCCAAAAUAAUCUCCCCCACUAAGUCAACAAAAUUUUCAGCUAAUUAAUAUUGGAAAAAUUCUACUUUGGCCCUCCUUCUUUGCUUCUUUCUUUAAUUUGGCCCAAUUGUUUCCUUUUUCUUCUAUUUAGCCCAAAAUUACAUUCCUGCACAAAAUUCAAUAAAUAUGGAAAAAUUAGUGGUGCAUUCUCAUAAAUUAACCAAUUUAGUUACAUAAAAUAUGUAACUUUUAGCAUUUAAUCAUGCAUGAACCAAAUCGAUGAAAAUCAAUUAAUUCCGCGUGUGAAAUUAAUUCAAGUUUUAAGUGAAUUUUGGGUUUAAUAAUGUUAAGUUUGGAUUAUUUUGGUUUUAUAUUAUUUAAGUUUAAAUAUUAAAAUUUUAUAUUUGAAUUAUUGGAGUAAUUUUAAGUUUUUAUUAUUUUAAAUUUGAAUUAUUUUAUAACCAAAUUAAAUUAUCCUAAUUUAAGUUCAAAUUAAAUGGAUUAUAUUUUAAAUUUUAGUUAGAACCAUCUAAAUAAAUUAAUGAAUAAAAUAUGCAAAUAAAAAAAAUUUAUUAUUUACAAAAAAAUGUACAUUUAAGAGUUUUAAAGUUCAAACUUUUGUAUAAUUUAAAGUUAAUGGUAAAUAAAUAAUACAUGUCCAGCAUUUCUCCUAGUCUUUCUUUGUCCUCCAUGGUGGAGGACAAAGCGACCAAAAAGGUUUGAAUGAGAAUUGACCAGUCUAAUUUUACGAAUCAAAUUAUGGAAAUGGAGGUUUAAUCCUAAAGGGAUUAAUGAACAAUUUAAUGAGAGACUGUCUUUCAAAGAUAUGUUAGUUGGAUCUAUGAAACCAUUAGGAAGGGAUGUGCAAGGAAGAGUUGAUGACGAUUUAUAGAUUCUAGAGGGUGAUGUUACCAUUGGAACGGAGGAUGGAUUACCAUCGAUUAGGUUCUCUGAGCGGAUUCACCAAGCUUUAUAUAAAAGCAGGGUUCGGACCGUUGUUGUCAAGCUAUUUGGUUGGAAAAUUGGAAUUCAGACUUUAUCUAAUAGAAUUUACCGCCUUUGGAAGCCAUCUACACCCAUAAGUAUUUUGGACUUAGAGAAUGAUUAUUUUUUGGUGAAAUUUCAGGAGGAAGUUGAUUAUGUUCGGACCCUAAUAGAAGGACCAUGGAUUGUAUUUGGGAAAUACCUAACGAUUCAACCAUGGUCACAAUAUUUCUCUACUUCUCAGACUUACCCAUCGAAUGUGGUUGCCUGGAUUCGAUUUCCUGGUAUUAUGGUUUCAUGUACCUAAAGAGUGUUUUAACGAACAUUGGAGAAAUGGUGGGACACGUCAUCAAAUUGGAUGAUCAAACUGGUAAUGCACAAAAAAACUCGUUUUGUUAGGAUGGUUGUUCUCCUGGAUCAUAAUAAACCCUUUAUCUUUAAAAUCAAAGUGGAUGGAUGUAUCCAAGGGUAGAGUAUGAAUCCCUACCCAACAUGUGUUUCUCAUGUGGAUGCUACAGGCAUUUGAAAGAUAUGUACAAUUUUAAAUCGGGACAAGAAGGCCAAAAAGAUGAGGGAACGUUACCUUCUGUGGAUUGUGGAAAUUCAUAUUAUGCAAAUAAGAAUGUUGAAAAUGAGAACUUUGAGCCAUGGAUGUUAGCUGAUCACCGAAGAAAGAGGAAUGGUCGGAAAUAAAGUGAUGACCAGUAAGCAAAGAAAGGGGCGGAUUCGUCGGGAUCUAGGUUUGAUA